RNAcentral lists this long non-coding RNA (2747 nucleotides) under Glycine max (soybean). RNAcentral's name for it is "long non-coding RNA (GMAX_LNC002332)". The record is from RNAcentral. Lineage: Eukaryota; Viridiplantae; Streptophyta; Magnoliopsida; Fabales; Fabaceae.
GUAAAAUGACCAAAAAAGAAAAGGCUGGUACUCAAAUGGGCAACAGAAUUGGCCUCCCUGCUUUGGAAGCACAGCAAAGCAGCAUGCUUAUUUCUUGGAGACACAGUUCCCUUCUGAAGCAUCUCAAUAAUAUGCAGAUUAUCCAUUUGGCAAACGACAUAGUUCCUAUGGCCUCUGUCCCACGGAAAAUGUAAGCCAUGAGCUCAGCCACUGGUACUCAAAUGACAAAGCUAGUUCAUCUCGCUCAAGUUUGGUUCAUUUUUUUUAAUGGGCAUUUUGAGAACGCUGGUUAAAAUUAAGAAUUUCAUGUGAAUAUUUUUUUUGGAUUAAUUAUAUUUUUUGUUUCUAAACUUUUUUAAAUUCUUAUUUUUAGUCCCUCUAUGAAUAUUUGACCCAUCAAAAUCCCUAAACAUUACUUUCGUUACUUUUGGUCAUGAUAACUUGCAUUAUUUUUAUUUUUUUUAUGUUUUAUUACAGUAAUUUUUUUAUUGUUCAAAAUCACUAAGAAAAAUGCUUUGUGGUAUCACUCUUUGUUUGGAAAGAAAUUUUAAAGAAGCAAUUUCUAACGGUUUUGCUUUUCAAAAUUCCUUUGCAAACCAAGAAUAGAUUAAUAUAUAUAUAUAUAUUUGAGUUAGACAAUGACAUAACAAAAAGGUGUAUCUUGAAAGAAGCAUUUUCAUUAAUUAACACGUGUUAAGGUUCUAAUCAGUGUUGCUUUAUCAUAGAAAAGACUUUGGUAUAUAUAAUUUUUAGGAUAUUAAUUAAAAAAUAAAUAAAACUAAAUAUUAAAAAUAUAUUUAGUUUUAUCAAUAUAUUCUUACCGUAAUUUUUAAUACUAUUUUUUUAUUUAUUAAUUACGCAUGGUUAAUAAAGUGAAAUAGAAAUAGGUUGUUUUGGACGUACAAAAAUAAUUAGUGUUGAAUAGUUCUAUUUUUUGGGCUUUUUUAUCAAGGGGUAAAUUUUUUUUACAAUUUUUCAACGGGGUAUAUUUUAAAAAAUUAUUUAAAAUGGGAUUUAAAUCUGCUUUUUUUACUAUUUGUAACCAUGUGUUUGUUAUGUUAACCUACUUUUUUUUCGUAAAUCUAUUUUUUCUUUUAAAUUUAAUAUUUUUUACGGUUUGAUUUUUAUUUUAAAUAAAAAAUUUAAAAAAUAUAUAUUUAAAAAUGUAAUAAAUAAUAUUAAGUUGAUUUUAUUUUAUAUGUUAUUAUUUUAUUUUAAUUUUUUAUUAUUUAAAACAUGUUAUAUAUAUUUUUAAUAUAGUUUACUUUAAAUGUUUUUUAUUUAAAGUUUAAAUAAUGUAUCAAUAAAAUUAAAAAAACAACAUAAUUAAUACAUUGAUAUAAAACACACAAUACAAAUGAAAGAAAAAUAUAAAAAUUACAAAUUAUUUUAGUCAUGUACUUGUUUGUAUAGACAGUUAGCCCGAUUAUGUCCUUCACUUCUACAUAAUGAGCAUUUCUUAGGCCUAAUUGAAAUUUGUUCAUUCAUCUCAUUAAAAAUAUAUAUAACAUGUUUUAAAUAAUAAAACAUUAAAAUAAAAUAAUAACAUAUCAAAUAAAAUCACAAUAAAUAUACUAAUAAAAUCAACUUAAUAUUAUUUUACAUUUUUACAUAUAUUUUUGUUAAUUUUUUAUUUAAAAUAAAAAUCAAACCGUAAAAAAUAUUAAAUUUAAAAGAAAAAAUAGAUUUACGAAAAGAAAAAAAUAAAUUAACAUAACAAAAACAUGGCUACAAAUAAUAAAAAAACAGAUUUAAAAAAAAAAACUAUUUAAGACUUUGAAGUCGUGAACCUUUAAAAUAUUAAAAAAAAGUAUUUACGACUUUAAAGUCGUAUUUUAAAAAUAAAAAAAAAUACGACUUUAAAGUCGUAAAAUAAAAUAAGCUUUGUACUGAAGUCAUAAAUAUUUUUACAACUUCAGUUAAAAAAAUUAAAAAAUAAUAAGUCGUAACAAGUGUUAUGACUUCUGAGUUAUAAGUCGUAACACUUGUUACGACUUAUCCCAUUUUGGAUAAUUUUUUAAAAUAUACCCCCAAUUAAAAAAUUACAAAUUUUUUUACCCCGAUUGGUAAAAAAGCCUUUUUUGAGCAACUUGUUGAGUAGACUAAUUCAUCAAUCAAUUGCCAGAGUUGAGUGGACCUUGUCCAACCACCAUAUACGUAACAAACUCUAAGGUGGGCACUAAGCUAUUUUCAAAGAACAGAGAUUUUUACUUUAUUAGCCAGAUACAACAUCAACUUGCUAGAAAUAAAGGGCCAUACCUUCAACUUUAGUCCUUCUAUAUCCCAUAUAAAUUUAUUCUUUUAUUUAAGACUACAUAACAUAAUCAAGAGCAAACCAUUUCCUUGCUUAAUGUAUUCACAUUGUAUUGAGCUGGAAAGACAAUAGUUUGCUACUGAAACAAAAAUCAUAAGUUCUUCUAAACCUACGCAUAAGUUGCAGACAUAGCACGUGCAUACAGAUGGAUAAAGAUACUAUACUUAUAGAAAUCAUCAUGAAGGCACUGUCCACAUAUAAAUUGCAUGCCUUAACGGUUGAAUAAAAUUGUUUCAGUGACACUUAAAAGACAUAAAAAUAGAUUGUAAUUAUUCAGAUAACAUGAGAAAAAAAAUUGAUGUUCAAUCAAAUAAUAAUAACAAUAUAUUAUAGCAUUACCUUAGCCGCUGAACCAAAACUAUGACAUUUUAAUGCAGAAAAUGAGAGAGACGCCGUCAGAAAAACCUUGCAAACACUUCCAAGUUCUAGCACA